GAUGAACGCUAGCGACAGGCUUAACACAUGCAAGUCGAGGGGCAGCAUGAGGUAGCAAUACCUUGAUGGCGACCGGCGCACGGGUGAGUAACGCGUAUGCAACCUGCCCGAUACCGGGGUAUAGCCCAUGGAAACGUGGAUUACCACCCCAUAGUACUUUUAUCCUGCAUGGGAUGUGAGUUAAAUGUUCAAGGUAUCGGAUGGGCAUGCGUCCUAUUAGUUAGUUGGCGGGGUAACAGCCCACCAAGACGAUGAUAGGUAGGGGUUCUGAGAGGAAGGUCCCCCACAUUGGAACUGAGACACGGUCCAAACCCCUACGGGAGGCAGCAGUGAGGAAUAUUGGUCAAUGGACGUAAGUCUGAACCAGCCAAGUCGCGUGAGGGAAGACUGCCCUAUGGGUUGUAAACCUCUUUUAUAAGGGAAGAAUAAGUUCUACGUGUAGAAUGAUGCCUGUACCUUAUGAAUAAGCAUCGGCUAACUCCGUGCCAGCAGCCGCGGUAA
This 501-nucleotide ribosomal RNA is filed under the name uncultured bacterium. RNAcentral describes it as "partial 16S ribosomal RNA". It matches the Rfam family "Bacterial small subunit ribosomal RNA", at positions 28 to 523 of the family's 1533-position model. The record is from RNAcentral.